ACUCCUACGGGAGGCAGCAGUGAGGAAUAUUGGUCAAUGGGCGAGAGCCUGAACCAGCCAAGUCGCGUGAAGGAUGAAGGUUCUAUGGAUUGUAAACUUCUUUUGUAAGGGAAUAAAAAGUAGUAUGUGUACUAUAUUGUAUGUACUUUACGAAUAAGGAUCGGCUAACUCCGUGCCAGCAGCCGCGGUAAU
Molecule: ribosomal RNA, 192 nt
Filed under: uncultured bacterium
Lineage: Bacteria
Description: partial 16S ribosomal RNA
Rfam family: Bacterial small subunit ribosomal RNA
Source: RNAcentral